RNAcentral lists this transfer RNA (76 nucleotides) under Candidatus Latescibacteria bacterium 4484_107. RNAcentral's name for it is "tRNA-Cys". It matches the Rfam family "tRNA". Rfam says of the family: Transfer RNA (tRNA) molecules are approximately 80 nucleotides in length. Their secondary structure includes four short double-helical elements and three loops (D, anti-codon, and T loops). Further hydrogen bonds mediate the characteristic L-shaped molecular structure. tRNAs have two regions of fundamental functional importance: the anti-codon, which is responsible for specific mRNA codon recognition, and the 3' end, to which the tRNAs corresponding amino acid is attached (by aminoacyl-tRNA synthetases). tRNAs cope with the degeneracy of the genetic code in two manners: having more than one tRNA (with a specific anti-codon) for a particular amino acid; and 'wobble' base-pairing, i.e. permitting non-standard base-pairing at the 3rd anti-codon position. Lineage: Bacteria; Pseudomonadati; Candidatus Latescibacterota. The record is from RNAcentral. RNAcentral also lists the same sequence under 3 other names.
GGCGGCAUAGCCAAGAGGCUAAGGCGGAGGUCUGCAAAACCUCUAUUCCCCGGUUCGAGUCCGGGUGCCGCCUCCA